AGUGAACGCUGGCGGUAGGCCUAACACAUGCAAGUCGAACGGCAGCACAGUAAGAGCUUGCUCUUACGGGUGGCGAGUGGCGGACGGGUGAGGAAUACAUCGGAAUCUACUUUUUCGUGGGGGAUAACGUAGGGAAACUUACGCUAAUACCGCAUACGACCUACGGGUGAAAGCAGGGGAUCUUCGGACCUUGCGCGAUUGAAUGAGCCGAUGUCGGAUUAGCUAGUUGGCGGGGUAAAGGCCCACCAAGGCGACGAUCCGUAGCUGGUCUGAGAGGAUGAUCAGCCACACUGGGACUGAGACACGGUCCAGACUCCUACGGGAGGCAGCAGUGGGGAAUAUUGGACAAUGGGCGCAAGCCUGAUCCAGCCAUACCGCGUGGAUGAAGAAGGCCUUCGGGUUGUAAAGCCCUUUUGUUGGGAAAGAAAAGCAGCAGGUUAAUACCCCGCUGUUCUGACGGUACCCAAAGAAUAAGCACCGGCUAACUUCGUG
RNAcentral lists this ribosomal RNA (492 nucleotides) under uncultured bacterium. Its description in RNAcentral is "partial 16S ribosomal RNA". It matches the Rfam family "Bacterial small subunit ribosomal RNA", at positions 29 to 507 of the family's 1533-position model. The record is from RNAcentral.